RNAcentral lists this transfer RNA (69 nucleotides) under Anguilla anguilla (European eel). RNAcentral's name for it is "tRNA-OTHER". The record is from RNAcentral. Lineage: Eukaryota; Metazoa; Chordata; Actinopteri; Anguilliformes; Anguillidae.
ACUGCCAGCGUAAUGGCUAAGGAGUUGGUCUUGUAACCUAAAGGUCGCAGGUUCGAUUCCCUGGUAGGA